Molecule: ribosomal RNA, 498 nt
Filed under: uncultured bacterium
Lineage: Bacteria
Description: partial 16S ribosomal RNA
Rfam family: Bacterial small subunit ribosomal RNA
Source: RNAcentral
ACUCAAAUGAAUUGACGGGGGCCCGCACAAGCAGUGGAGCAUGUGGUUUAAUUCGAUGCAACGCGAAGAACCUUACCUAGGCUUGAAAAGCAAAUGACCGGGUGUGAAAGCACCUCUCCCUUCGGGGCAUUUGUACAGGUGCUGCAUGGCUGUCGUCAGCUCGUGCCGUGAGGUGUUGGGUUAAGUCCCGCAACGAGCGCAACCCUUACUAUUAGUUGCCAUCAGGUUAUGCUGGGCACUCUAAUAGGACUGCCUACGCAAGUAGUGAGGAAGGUGGGGAUGACGUCAAGUCCGCAUGGCCCUUACGCCUAGGGCCACACACGUGCUACAAUGGGUACAACAGAGGGUAGCCAAACCGCAAGGUGGAGCCAAUCCCAUAAAUGUAUCCUCAGUUCGGAUUGGAGUCUGAAACUCGACUCCAUGAAGUUGGAAUUGCUAGUAAUCGCGCAUCAGCACGGCGCGGUGAAUACGUUCCCGGGCCUUGUACACACCGCCCGU